AGCCACACUCAUCCCCUGUGUGACUCCUGUCACUGGGGCUCCAAGCCAGACCGGGUGUCCAGCUGGAGGACCAGAUCAGAGGAACCAUGGCCCAGAGAGCUGUUGGUCAGUCUGACUCGUCCCGUCAGCUCUACCCGGCUCUCCUGAUGGUGGGCUGGAUCGUAGGCUGUGUGGUGGUCAUAUACUUUGUCUUUGCUUAGGAGAGAAAUUCAUGAAGGUCUGGCUGAUGGUUCUUCUCCUGGGCGCUGGAUGACGAUGGUGAUGAUGACGAUGGUGAUGAUGACGAUGGUGAUGAUGACGAUGGUGACAAGCUGCCAAGCAGAUCCUGUCCUGAUCGUAGCACACAGUCUGGUCGCCAUGGUAAAGAAGUAGACCUUCCUGUACAACACACCUAUAGCAGUGUCAUUAUGUGCUCUCCUUCUCUCUCUUUAUUCCUUUCCCUCUUGCUCUCUAUACAUAUUCUCUCUCUCAGUCAAACCUUGUUAGAGAAGUUGACUUUACCAUAGUUUUUGUUUACUCAGAACAAAGGUGAUUUGUUUUGUGUAUGUUAUAAGAAUAGUACAACUAUAAAAAAAGUGUGUCAACAUAUACAGUAUUAUGCGA
Long non-coding RNA from Osmerus eperlanus (European smelt), 603 nucleotides. RefSeq lists it as uncharacterized. The transcript is spliced from 3 exons. Lineage: Eukaryota; Metazoa; Chordata; Actinopteri; Osmeriformes; Osmeridae. The record is from RefSeq and is a predicted model, not a curated record.